ACAGCUUAUAUCAUUCCCAGGGUCAGAGCUUGAUGAGAGGGGUCAUUUAAUCACUUGAAGGAGCAUGGGGUAGAUAUAGGGGCAAUGAUUCUGGAAUGAGAAUCCUGGAAGUUCAAAUCUCAACCAUGGCUUUUAUUUCUGCCUUUUGGACCACAUGCCCCAUUGCCCCCACCAAGAAUACCAGCAUAAUAAUGACUCUUCCAAAGAACUUACAUUCACUGGAGAACUAGGAACCAAUAAGACUGUUCUACCAACCAAUGCUAGAGUUAAAAGAUUCCAGAGAAUGUAAUGAUCAUCUAUCUAUGCAGAGCCACAAAUAGACUGAUGCCUCCAGGAACAAAGUCAUACCCCACCAUGAAACUGUAUUGCUUUGCCAAUUGCCCAUUCAGUGAAAUGUAAUUUGUAAACAUCAAAAUAAAUGCGACUGUUGUCACA
RNAcentral lists this long non-coding RNA (435 nucleotides) under Monodelphis domestica (gray short-tailed opossum). RNAcentral describes it as "lncRNA (ENSMODG00000041048.1)". The record is from RNAcentral. Lineage: Eukaryota; Metazoa; Chordata; Mammalia; Didelphimorphia; Didelphidae.